Molecule: ribosomal RNA, 271 nt
Filed under: uncultured bacterium
Lineage: Bacteria
Description: partial 16S ribosomal RNA
Rfam family: Bacterial small subunit ribosomal RNA
Source: RNAcentral
AGGGUGCGAGCGUUAAUCGGAAUUACUGGGCGUAAAAGCGCAUGCAGGUGGUUUGUUAAGUCAGAUGUGAAAAGCCCGGGGCUCAACCUCGGAAUUUGUCAUUUGAAAACUGGCAAAACUAGAGUACUGUAGAGGGGGUAGAAUUUCAGGUGUAGCGGUGAAAAUGCGUAGAGAUCUGAAGGAAUACCGGUGGCGAAGGCGGCCCCCUGGACAGAUACUGACACUCAGAUGCGAAAGCGUGGGGAGCAAACAGGAUUAGAUACCCUGGUAG